RNAcentral lists this ribosomal RNA (430 nucleotides) under uncultured bacterium. RNAcentral describes it as "bacterial SSU rRNA". It matches the Rfam family "Bacterial small subunit ribosomal RNA", at positions 33 to 507 of the family's 1533-position model. The record is from RNAcentral.
ACGCUGGCGGCAGGCUUAACACAUGCAAGUCGAACGCUCGUAGCAAUACGGGAGUGGCGGACGGGUGAGUAACGCGUGGGAACGUGCCCUGAGGUACGGAAUAACUGAGGGAAACUUCAGCUAAUACCGUAUGAGCCCGAGAGGGGGAAAGAUUUAUCGCCUUGGGAGCGGCCCGCGUCGGAUUAGCUAGUUGGUGGGUAACGGCCUACCAAGGCUUCGAUCCGUAGCUGGUCUGAGAGGACGAUCAGCCACACUGGGACUGAGACACGGCCCAGACUCCUACGGGAGGCAGCAGUGGGGAAUCUUGCGCAAUGGGGGCAACCCUGACGCAGCCAUGCCGCGUGAACGAUGAAGGCCUUAGGGUUGUAAAGUUCUUUUACCCGUGACGAUGAUGACGGUAACGGGGGAAUAAGCUCCGGCUAACUUCGUG